GCUUUGCAUGCGUCUUCCAGAGAAGGGGCCAGUCUAGACGUAGCCCAGGGGCCCAGUAUUAUUUAGGUGAAAUUUGGGGUUGGGGCAGCCAGAAACAUGGCACAAGGAGAAAGCCAGGAGAGAAACAUUUGUGGAAGAAUAUUGGCUGCAAAGAGACUUCCAGCUGUGAACAAAUAAGCAACUGUGACGUAGUGGGGGUACUUGCUGGGAUGUGGUGACCCCUGCUGUCUGGAGCAAGACCCAGCAGGGAAAGCCUCACUAGGCCAAGGAAAAAGGUUAUAUGGGAGCGCAGGAGGCAGUCAAUCGAGAGGGCUUAUAGGAGCAACCAAUCAGGACUCACCUGUUUCUCGAAAAGGACACCGUUGUCUAAGAACCACACGGGUCCUGGAGCAGAAGUGACAGCAGCAAGACGUCAUCAGAUGAAGGUGCACUGGUGAAAGGAGCUAAUUCCCAGAACAACCAGCAGGAGACGCCAGAGUGUUUCCAGCUUCAUUGUGUCACUGAGAAAUCUGCCCAGCUUUGGCUUCCAUGCAGUUUUCUUUCAUCUGGCCCCCAGUCAACACAUGCUGUUAGGAUCCUGCUUCUCUCCAUGUAUAUGACGCCUCCCGCCCUCAGAGAAGGAUGUAGAGUUUGUCUUCUCAUUUGCAGGUCUCCCAUCUCUGCUAGCUAAAAGCCUUAGGGCUGGCUACAAGCAACUGUCCUGUGGAUUCUGUGAAAAAGACUUGUUUGUGUGAAUGAGAAAUGUAUCAGCAUAAAUAUAAAAGGCAUGAAGGCCACCGUUAGACCCAGAUUGCCAAGAAAGGAGGAGGCAAUGUGGGUGAAGACAUCCUGUGAAAGACAGACGGCGAAGAGACAUAUUGGCAUCAGAGGAAAUAUCAGUGCGUACCUAUAGUCAAGAAUUGAUCAGAUUGGCAGAUUGACAAGUCUAAAGUGGAGCGAGCACCCCCAAAAGACAACUGAUUACAGGAUGAGCUUCUUGGAGAUGUCUGGAAUGUCAACAUCAAAAAAUAAUAGUAACCAGUCACAGACUGACACGGCAAAAUCCACAGAGGAAAGGAUUAUAAAAGCAGGGUGCUUUGCCAUGGAACUUUGGAUUCGUCCUGCCACUAUGAUCACGCAGCCGACAGAGUUCAGCUCCCCCUCUGUGAUCACUCUGGCUGAUCCAGUGUAGGCAGGGAGAGAAGAUGUUGCUGGGCCUAGCUGCAAGAAUGAAAAAGAACAAGGAAAACUGCUUAUUGGGAGAAAAUGAUGUGGAUGAAGAUGUGGAUAUGGCUGCAUGAAUCAACU
Pelodiscus sinensis (Chinese soft-shelled turtle) is the source of this 1287-nucleotide non-coding RNA. The record is from RefSeq and is a predicted model, not a curated record. NCBI's taxonomy places the organism in Eukaryota, Metazoa, Chordata, Testudines, Trionychidae.